Molecule: ribosomal RNA, 503 nt
Filed under: uncultured Proteiniphilum sp.
Lineage: Bacteria; Pseudomonadati; Bacteroidota; Bacteroidia; Bacteroidales; Dysgonomonadaceae
Description: bacterial SSU rRNA
Rfam family: Bacterial small subunit ribosomal RNA
Source: RNAcentral
CGCCUUGCCAGCCCGCUCAGAACUUAAAUGAAUUUGACGGGGGCCCGCACAAGCGGUGGAGCAUGUGGUUUAAUUCGAUGAUACGCGAGGAACCUUACCUGGGCUCAAAUGUAUGUUGACGUAUUCUGAAAGGGAUACUUCUUCGGACAAUAUACAAGGUGCUGCAUGGUUGUCGUCAGCUCGUGCCGUGAAGUGUCGGGUUAAGUCCCGCAACGAGCGCAACCCUUGCCUUUAGUUGCCAUCAGGUCAAGCUGGGGACUCUAAUGAAACUGCCUACGCAAGUAGUGAGGAAGGUGGGGAUGACGUCAAAUCAGCACGGCCCUUACGUCCGGGGCGACACACGUGUUACAAUGGGUGGUACAAAGGGCAGCUACCUGGCGACAGGAUGCUAAUCUCCAAAACCACUCUCAGUUCGGAUCGGAGUCUGCAACUCGACUCCGUGAAGCUGGAUUCGCUAGUAAUCGCGCAUCAGCCACGGCGCGGUGAAUACGUUCCCGGGCCUU